RNAcentral lists this long non-coding RNA (217 nucleotides) under Elaeis guineensis (African oil palm). RNAcentral's name for it is "long non-coding RNA (EGUI_LNC067484)". The record is from RNAcentral. Lineage: Eukaryota; Viridiplantae; Streptophyta; Magnoliopsida; Arecales; Arecaceae.
GCAUGAGGUGUAGGGUGGGUUCUAGGGUUUCAACUCUAGAUUUUGUGAGAAGAAAAAUACAAGAGUGAGUCUUGCUCAAUCUCCUACACCACUACUUUCUUGUAAAGCUUCAUCUUCUGAUCUAAAAGAGUUCAGAAGAUCCAAAGAAAGGAGCUUGAAUCAGCCAUCCAGAGCCUUCGAUGCGAGCUAGCACUCCCACAAAGGAAGAUCUGAUCAG